Molecule: ribosomal RNA, 173 nt
Filed under: uncultured soil bacterium
Lineage: Bacteria
Description: partial 16S ribosomal RNA
Rfam family: Bacterial small subunit ribosomal RNA
Source: RNAcentral
UACUCCUACGGGAGGCAGCAGUGGGGAAUUUUGCGCAAUGGGGGAAACCCUGACGCAGCAACGCCGCGUGAGGGAUGAAGGCCUUCGGGUUGUAAACCUCUUUUCUCAGGGACGAUGAUGACGGUACCUGAGGAAGAAGCCACGGCUUUCUACGUGCCAGCAGCCGCGGUAAU